AGGUUUGGUCCCAGCCUUCUUAUUAGUUUAUAGCAAGAUUACACAUGCAAGCAUCUACGACCCUGUGAGAAUGCCCUCUACGUCAAACAGACUUAAAGGAGCAGGUAUCAAGCACACAUCACCGUAGCUCAAAACACCUUGCUAAACCACACCCCCACGGGUUACAGCAGUGAUUAAAAUUAAAAUAUAAACGAAAGUUUGACUAAGCUAUGCUAUAAUCUAGGGUUGGUAAAUUUCGUGCCAGCCACCGCGGUCAUACGAUUAACCCAAAUUAAUAAGUUUCGGCGUAAAGGGUGUUUUAGAUUAUUCCUACAAUAAGGUUNNNNNNNNNNNNNNNNNNNNNNNNNNNNNNNNNNNGAAAAAAUAACAUACGAAAGUCACCUUACUAAAAUCUGAAUACACGAUAGCUAAGACCCAAACUGGGAUUAGAUACCCCACUAUGCUUAGCCCUAAACAUAAACCCUUACUAACGCAACCGUUCGCCAGAGUACUACAAGCCACAGCUCAAAACUCAAAGGACUUGGCGGUGCUUUAUAUCCCUCUAGAGGAGCCUGUUCUAUAAUCGAUAAACCCCGAUAAACCUCACCACUUCUUGCUACCACAGCUUAUAUACCGCCAUCUUCAGCAAACCUUAACAAGGAAUCAAAGUAAGCCCAAGUAUUAACAUAAAAACGUUAGGUCAAGGUGUAGCCUAUGAAGUGGAAAGAAAUGGGCUACAUUUCCUUUCCCAAGUACAUUCACGUCAACUUUUAUGAAACCUAAAAGUAAAAGGCGGAUUUAGUAGUAAGCUAAGAAUAGAGAGCCUAGCUGAAUAGGGCCAUGAAGCACGCACACACCGCCCGUCACCCUCCUCAAGCAUGAAUAUAAUUUAUCUAUAAUUAAAUCUCUGCACUUUGCAAGAGGAGAUAAGUCGUAACAUGGUAAGCAUACUGGAAAGUGUGCUUGGAGUAAU
Molecule: non-coding RNA, 952 nt
Filed under: Glis glis (Fat dormouse)
Lineage: Eukaryota; Metazoa; Chordata; Mammalia; Rodentia; Gliridae
Description: partial 12S ribosomal RNA
Rfam family: Bacterial small subunit ribosomal RNA
Source: RNAcentral